RNAcentral lists this ribosomal RNA (484 nucleotides) under uncultured bacterium. Its description in RNAcentral is "partial 16S ribosomal RNA". It matches the Rfam family "Bacterial small subunit ribosomal RNA", at positions 30 to 507 of the family's 1533-position model. The record is from RNAcentral.
AUUGAACGCUGGCGGCAGGCCUAACACAUGCAAGUCGAGCGGAUGAAGGGAGCUUGCUCCUGGAUUCAGCGGCGGACGGGUGAGUAAUGCCUAGGAAUCUGCCUGGUAGUGGGGGAUAACGUCCGGAAACGGGCGCUAAUACCGCAUACGUCCUGAGGGAGAAAGUGGGGGAUCUUCGGACCUCACGCUAUCAGAUGAGCCUAGGUCGGAUUAGCUAGUUGGUGGGGUAAAGGCCUUCCAAGGCGACGAUCCGUAACUGGUCUGAGAGGAUGAUCAGUCACACUGGAACUGAGACACGGUCCAGACUCCUACGGGAGGGAGCAGUGGGGAAUAUUGGACAAUGGGCGAAAGCCUGAUCCAGCCAUGCCGCGUGUGUGAAGAAGGUCUUCGGAUUGUAAAGCACGUUAAGUUGGGAGGAAGGGCAGUAAGUUAAUACCUUGCUGUUUUGACGUUACCAACAGAAUAAGCACCGGCUAACUUCGUG